CAGUCGCCGCGGUAAUACGUAGGUCCCGAGCGUUGUCCGGAUUUAUUGGGCGUAAAGCGAGCGCAGGCGGUUAGAUAAGUCUGAAGUUAAAGGCUGUGGCUUAACCAUAGUACGCUUUGGAAACUGUUUAACUUGAGUGCAGAAGGGGAGAGUGGAAUUCCAUGUGUAGCGGUGAAAUGCGUAGAUAUAUGGAGGAACACCGGUGGCGAAAGCGGCUCUCUGGUCUGUAACUGACGCUGUGGAGCGAAAGCGUGGGGAGCGAACAGGAUUAGAUACCCCAGUAGUCCCUGUCUCUUAUACA
Molecule: ribosomal RNA, 301 nt
Filed under: uncultured bacterium
Lineage: Bacteria
Description: partial 16S ribosomal RNA
Rfam family: Bacterial small subunit ribosomal RNA
Source: RNAcentral